This is a non-coding RNA of Myodes glareolus (Bank vole), 163 nucleotides long. The record is from RefSeq and is a predicted model, not a curated record. Lineage: Eukaryota; Metazoa; Chordata; Mammalia; Rodentia; Cricetidae.
AUACUUCCUAGAAGAGGAGAUACCAUGAUCAUGAAGAUAGUUUUUCUUGUAUGAGGUUUCUCUAUUGCACUCCAAAUAUGCUGACCCUUGUGAUCUUUCCAAACACAAGAAAAUCAGCAGCACAAUUUGUGAUAGUGGGGUACCUCAUUUGCAUUCUUCCCUA